UACGGAGGGGCUAGCGUUGUUCGGAAUUACUGGGCGUAAAGCGCACGUAGGCGGCUUUGCAAGUCAGAGGUGAAAGCCCGGGGCUCAACCCCGGAAUUGCCUUUGAGACUGCAUCGCUAGAAUUGUGGAGAGGUAAGUGGAAUUCCGAGUGUAGAGGUGAAAUUCGUAGAUAUUCGGAAGAACACCAGUGGCGAAGGCGACUUACUGGACACAUAUUGACGCUGAGGUGCGAAAGCGUGGGAGCAACAGGG
Molecule: ribosomal RNA, 251 nt
Filed under: uncultured bacterium
Lineage: Bacteria
Description: partial 16S ribosomal RNA
Rfam family: Bacterial small subunit ribosomal RNA
Source: RNAcentral